Long non-coding RNA from Spinacia oleracea (spinach), 444 nucleotides. RefSeq lists it as uncharacterized. The transcript has 3 exons. The record is from RefSeq and is a predicted model, not a curated record. Lineage: Eukaryota; Viridiplantae; Streptophyta; Magnoliopsida; Caryophyllales; Amaranthaceae.
UGGAUGGAGCCUAUACCAGUUGUAAAUAUGAGCAAGAACAAGUAAAUGGUGUCUUCACUAGGAUAAGGAUAAAGGAGUUUCAGAAGGCGAAAUGAAUCCACUUGUUAAAUUGCUUGUCCCUUGAUGUGGGUGACAAAUAGGUGAAAAGCAGGAAGCUAAUCAACCCUAUGCAGAGCCAGAACAAGGACUCGUGAGUGCCGAGGGUGACAAACGGGUGAAGAACAAGAAGUUGAUCAACACAUCUUUUCAAAUGGAAAAGCCUAAGGUGCACACAACUCUUUUAUGUUAAGGAAUGAAGCUUAUCACCAAAUCGGAAGUGGGUGAAGAAAAUAACAUCUUAUGGAUUUAUAGUUCUGAUUUACAACUUUUUUUCACCUUGAGUGAAUUUAGUAAUUAGUCAUGUACUUAUUUCGAUACUAAGAGAUGUAGUGCGACAGAGACAUA